Long non-coding RNA from Tupaia belangeri chinensis (Chinese tree shrew), 728 nucleotides. RefSeq lists it as uncharacterized. The transcript is spliced from 3 exons. The record is from RefSeq and is a predicted model, not a curated record. NCBI's taxonomy places the organism in Eukaryota, Metazoa, Chordata, Mammalia, Scandentia, Tupaiidae.
ACUAGCUGUGCCCGCGGCGCCCGGGCUAUAUAACCCUCCACGCCGCCCCUCCCCCGCGACACGUGAUCCGGGCCCGGGGUACGGGGAGCGCCCAGGGACCGCGUCCCCAGCGCCGCGAGCCUACAGGGGUGGGGGCGCAGCCUGGGAGGGAGGAAGUUCUGCAGGGUGAGAGGGCUGCCUGGAAGAGGAUCCCAGCCCAGGAUAAUGUGAACAAACAAGUUGUGCCAGUGCCCAGGGCCAGUAAGGGAUUCAACGGAUUCCUCCCCAAGGGACGGACUGGCAGGGAGUCUUCGAAUAAAAAUGCGGCGGGCCUCGGCCUCCCCAACUCUCCGGAGAAGUAAACCUGAUAGGAUAGUAGCGAGGUGGGAAGAGGAGGUGACAGGCGACCGAUAGGACAGCCUCGGCCUCCACCUCCAAAAUGGGAGAAAAGGGGAGGAGACGACAGUGCUGGAGACCCGUGACUAGCUUUGCCAGGCUGUGGAAUUUGAACUGUGGAAAGCCCUCAAAGACAGUCACUUCCAUUAUUUAAUCAAUGUUGCACUACAAACAUGGAGAAGAAAAAGGAAUGAAUGCUUCUUUCACAUGGACCUCAUCUUGAUUUGGUUUCUAAACCACCGGACCUCCUCUCCCCUUCUGAAUGCCGGCUCUUAGUCUGUUAGCCAUGACCCCUUCCUUUCUCUAUCUGAAAUAUGUAACUCAAGUAAAAGCACUCAAAAGAUAGAUCUCAA